Bacillus sp. FJAT-22058 is the source of this 99-nucleotide non-coding RNA. The record is from Rfam. NCBI's taxonomy places the organism in Bacteria, Bacillati, Bacillota, Bacilli, Caryophanales, Bacillaceae.
AUCUUAUCGAGAGAGGUGGAGGGACUGGCCCGAAGAAACCUCAGCAACCAGCUUAGGCAAAGGUGCUAAAUCCAGCAAGCAGAGCUUGAUAGAUGAGGA